CGACUCUCGGCAACGGAUAUCUCGGCUCUUGCAUCGAUGAAGAACGUAGCGAAAUGCGAUACUUGGUGUGAAUUGCAGAAUCCCGCGAACCAUCAAUUCUUUGAACGCAAGUUGCGCCCGAAGCCACUCGGCCGAGGGCACGCCUGCCUGGGUGUCGUGA
This 160-nucleotide ribosomal RNA is filed under the name Miconia clypeata. RNAcentral's name for it is "5.8S ribosomal RNA". It matches the Rfam family "5.8S ribosomal RNA". Rfam says of the family: 5.8S ribosomal RNA (5.8S rRNA) is a component of the large subunit of the eukaryotic ribosome. It is transcribed by RNA polymerase I as part of the 45S precursor that also contains 18S and 28S rRNA. Functionally, it is thought that 5.8S rRNA may be involved in ribosome translocation. Lineage: Eukaryota; Viridiplantae; Streptophyta; Magnoliopsida; Myrtales; Melastomataceae. The record is from RNAcentral.